GGUUCAUGUGUCAAAGUCAUUGCAGCUACAUCAUCGGUGGCCGCAUUUGUUGUUCUUCUGUUGAUGGUGGCCACUGCUCUUUAUCUUUCACUGAAAACAAGAUACAACGAAGAGAUACACUUGAAAGUCGAAAUGUUUCUCAAGACAUAUGAUACAUCAAAACCAACAAGGUACACUUUCUCCGAAAUUAAAAAGAUAACGAGACGCUUCAAGGAUAAAUUAGGACAUGGUGGAUAUGGAAGCGUGUACAAAGGUGAGCUACCAAAUGGGGUUCCUGUCACCGUCAAGAUGCUUGAGAACUCUAAUGGAGAAGGGCAGGAAUUCAUCAAUGAAGUUGCAACUAUUGGGAGAAUCCACCAUACAAACAUUGUCCGACUCCUUGGCUUUUGCUCUGAAGGGACAAGAAGGGCUCUUAUUUAUGAAUUCAUGCCUAAAGAUUCAUUGGAGAAAUAUAUAUUCUCAGGUAAUUCUAUUAUUUCUCAAGAACUCCUGGUACCGGACAAAAUGCUAGAUAUUGCUUUAGGCAUUGCUAGAGGAAUGGAGUACUUACAUCAAGGAUGCAACCAACGCAUACUCCACUUCGACAUCAAGCCUCACAAUAUCUUAUUGGACUACAACUUCAACCCGAAGAUCUCAGACUUCGGCCUUGCAAAAUUGUGUACAAGGGAUCAAAGCAUCAUCACGUUGACCGCAGCAAGAGGCACUAUGGGGUACAUCGCACCAGAGAUUUACUCUAGGAACUUUGGUGGGAUAUCCUACAAGUCGGAUGUUUACAGUUUCGGCAUGUUGGUGUUAGAAAUGGUAAGUGGACGGAGGAACUCAGACCCAAGUACCGAGAGCCAGAACCAGGAAUACCUCCCGGAGUGGAUCUACGAGAAAGUAAUCACUGGAGAGGAACUGGUGCUUACUUUGGAAGUGACACCAGAAGGGAAAGAAAAGGCGAGACAGCUGGCAAUCGUGGCACUUUGGUGUAUUCAGUGGAACCCAAGAAGCCGGCCAUCAAUGACAAAGGUGGUAAAUAUGUUAACUGGAAGCUUACAGAAUCUGCAGAUGCCCCCUAAGCCAUUUGUCCCAUCUGAAAAUUACCGCAUGCCAUAG
Molecule: ribosomal RNA, 1098 nt
Filed under: Triticum aestivum (bread wheat)
Lineage: Eukaryota; Viridiplantae; Streptophyta; Magnoliopsida; Poales; Poaceae
Description: partial small subunit ribosomal RNA
Source: RNAcentral